GCAGGUCAGGUUGCAGUUGCAGGGGAGUGGGCAGGGUUGGGAUAGCGCAAGUGAGCUGAACUUCUGCGCUGGUGUAGUGUACUAUCCUCAAUUUAAUACUUUAUUUGAGAAAUUAUUUUCUUUGAUGAAAAUAGCUCUUGCUGCGUGUGUUCUGAUAGGACACCACUGAGGAAUGUUGGAUUUGCUCUUCUUCGUGUAAUUAAUGGGUUUAUUGGGAAGUUGAGAUAUUUACAGUGAUUCUCCGGAUUUCCAUGGUCUCCUGUGGCAUCAGAACUUGUGAUUUCUGAAAGCAGGUAAGCCACUGACUAACGCACAUUGCGCCUAUUCUCUACUCCACUGUGCGUGUGACAGCGGCUAACCAGCUUUUGGAUGUGUGCCUGACUUCAGCAGCCGUGGGAAUGUCCCACUGGAGACUACUUAACGGAUCCAGGCGGAUACAGUCACCGGAGGGACACUUUUGGGUCCACGGUCCCUCUACAAGUCUUUGUUGCUGUAGCUCAGCUGGUAAUACUUGAAACACGAAGGUUGUGUGUUCGAUUCCCACAUGUCCUGAAUAAAUGCGCUGGGAUUAAUGUACAGUAAAUGUAAUUUUUGUAUGACAUCAGCCUACGUGCAGUGUGUCACCGCCAGUGCUGGAUAUACAUGUGCUCCUGUACAGUCUUGUACAUUACCGAUUAAACUUGUAUCUCUAGAUUAAGUUUAGUAUGCAAUAAUAAUUUUAUCAAUAUAUUUUGCAUGUAUCCAGCAGCUCUGAACUUUUGAACUUGUUCAGUUAGCUGUGGGAGUGUCAUUAUGUCAAUUUAAAUAACUUUGAAUCGUAUUUUACAUGUUACUUCAGUGUGACAAUCAAUGUUAUUUUCUAUUAAUUUAUCAUUAAAGUUUCAUUUUGUUCAUCAUUUUCA
Long non-coding RNA from Ctenopharyngodon idella (grass carp), 902 nucleotides. RefSeq lists it as uncharacterized. The record is from RefSeq and is a predicted model, not a curated record. NCBI's taxonomy places the organism in Eukaryota, Metazoa, Chordata, Actinopteri, Cypriniformes, Xenocyprididae. The transcript has 2 exons.